RNAcentral lists this long non-coding RNA (298 nucleotides) under Trifolium pratense (red clover). Its description in RNAcentral is "long non-coding RNA (TPRA_LNC012687)". The record is from RNAcentral. Lineage: Eukaryota; Viridiplantae; Streptophyta; Magnoliopsida; Fabales; Fabaceae.
GCACAUCCCCGCUGAUGACCCUUUGCAUUUGGAUCGGGUUAUGUCAAAAUUAUCAUGGACCAUAUUGUAAUAUAUCUCUUCUUCUGUGUAUUGUACAGUAGUCAACACAUAGGGCAUCACAACAACUGUACCAUGUUGGAUCAAAUAUAUGUUUAUUGAAUUAUCGACUCCUUUAAUGCACUAAUUUCUUCUAGUGGUAUAUUAUUCUGCAACAGAAAAAAUAGUUCAAUCUUAAUGCCAUUAUGUUCAUGAUUAUUUGACUGCUUAAGCUUUGGAAGGGAAAUUUUCACUGCACGCU